RNAcentral lists this ribosomal RNA (460 nucleotides) under uncultured bacterium. RNAcentral describes it as "partial 16S ribosomal RNA". It matches the Rfam family "Bacterial small subunit ribosomal RNA", at positions 338 to 795 of the family's 1533-position model. The record is from RNAcentral.
CCUACGGGAGGCAGCAGUGAGGAAUAUUGGUCAAUGGACGGAAGUCUGAACCAGCCAUGCCGCGUGCAGGAAGACGGCUCUAUGAGUUGUAAACUGCUUUUGUACAAGGGUAAACCUGAAUACGUGUAUUCAGCUGAACGUACUGUACGAAUAAGGAUCGGCUAACUCCGUGCCAGCAGCCGCGGUAAUCCGGAGGAUCCAAGCGUUAUCCGGAUUUAUUGGGUUUAAAGGGUGCGUAGGCGGAUUGCUAAGUUAGAGGUUAAAUGUUCGAGCUUAACUCGUGAACUGCCUCUGAUACUGUUGAUCUAGAGAGUAGAUGCGGUAGGCGGAAUUUAUGGUGUAGCGGUGAAAUGCUUAGAGAUCAUACAGAACACCGAUUGCGAAGGCAGCUUACCAAUCUAUAUCUGACGUUGAGGCACGAAAGCGUGGGGAGCAAACAGGAUUAGAUACCCCGGUAGUC